Molecule: ribosomal RNA, 163 nt
Filed under: uncultured bacterium
Lineage: Bacteria
Description: partial 16S ribosomal RNA
Rfam family: Bacterial small subunit ribosomal RNA
Source: RNAcentral
UAGGGAAUUUUCCACAAUGGGGGAAAGCCUGAUGGAGCAACGCCGCGUGUGUGAUGAAGGGUUUCGGCUGGUAAAACACUGUUGUAAGAGAAGAAGGACAUUGAGAGUAACUGUUCAUAUGUGUGACGGUAUCUUACCAGAAAGGAACGGCUAAAUACACUGC